This is a long non-coding RNA of Myripristis murdjan (pinecone soldierfish), 469 nucleotides long. RefSeq lists it as uncharacterized. The record is from RefSeq and is a predicted model, not a curated record. The transcript has 3 exons. NCBI's taxonomy places the organism in Eukaryota, Metazoa, Chordata, Actinopteri, Holocentriformes, Holocentridae.
UUUACUGCCACACGAUGUAUGCUCAGUGUUGACAGAACCAUUGUUCAGGAGAACAUCCCCUCCUUUGUGUCAUCAUUGUGUCUGAUGUUUGGAAGCUACUACAACUUCAACAUCCAUUAUCCAUCCGGACUGGCAUCCACCCUGGAGUUCCUGCAGAGAUGCUUUUUCUCCAUAAAUCCCGAGAAGGGCACGAAAGUGGAAAAGACCAGCACCUCCCGUCUACACGUGAACCCCAGAGUCCUCACGUUGAUACAAGACCUUUCAGAUCAUGAGUGGCGGGACAUGUGAAUAAAGACUCAAAUGCUUUUCCACCAUCAACACAGAAGGCACCGAAGUGGAGAAGAGCGACAGUUCCUGUCUACAACCCCAGAAUCCUCACCCUGAUUGAAGAAGGUUUCUUCAUGCUUAGUUCAUUAAGCUUUAUUUGUAAAUGUUACAGAUAAAAAUACGUUAUAGACUGGUUAUAGUU